UAGCUUCGGGGCUGGGGCACCACCCAGCUGAAGCUCAGAGCAGGACCAAUGGGUGAGACAAAAGCCUGACUUACCAUCUCUCAUUUGGACUUGGACUUUAUCCUUCAGAGUCCCAUACCAUCGAAGAAUAUCACAGGAGCAUUUCUCAUUCUCAGUCAUGACCAAGAAAUUGGAAAUUAAGGACUUGAACCUCCAACCUGGAUUGAAAAUAGAAAUAGAAGGAGUUAUAGCACCUGCACCCAGACACUUUGUCAUCAACUUUGCCCAAGACCGUGACAGCAUUGGAUGUCACUUUAAUGCACGCUUCCGCAGAGAUGAUGAUAGGAACAUCAAUGUCUGAAAUUCCAAGAGGGAUAUUGGAUGGGAUGUAGAACAAAGGGAGACCAAUUUCCCCUUUCAACCAGGGACCCAGUUUAAGGCAAGACCCUUGAAUCAGAGCAUGGAAAAUCCAAGCAUGGAAGGAUCCAAGAGAUGACCUCAUCCAUGCCAUGAAUCUGACAGAGCAGCCCAGGAAUGAAACUCUGAUCAGGGCAAUAUGAAAAGCUAGUGGACAAAGAGAUCAGUGGGUUUCCAUGAGACUAUGGCAAGAAGUUCAGCAUCCUCUGAGCAGAGGAGCAGGAAAAAAGAGAAUCAUAAAGAGUCCUGGUCAAAAGAAAAUAAGAGAAGACUCUGGGGUAUCCUUGACAGAAAAAGGGUUCUUAAAUUUAGAGCUGGAAGGAUCUUCAGAGGUUAUCUACUCUGACCCCCUCAUUUUACAUAAUAGAAAAAGGAGUCUCAUAAAGAUAAAUGAUUUGCCCUAGGUCUCCCAGUAUCUUGGAGUAAGUGUCCUGAAGUAGGAAUUUGAAGAAGGCUUUCCUGCCUCCAAGCCCAAGUCUCUCUCUUCAGUUACUUCUGUUCUCCAUUCAGGUUUUCUUCCUCUUUGAAAAGAGUGUCUUUCAUGUGAUACUCCCAGAUGGCUAUGAGUUCCAGUUAUCAAAUCACCUCCACUUAAACAAAAUUAGAAUCCUGGAAAUUAAGGGUGACUUUGAGCUAAGAUCAUUUUCCUUCAACUGAACCCAACAAUGAAGCCAACUUCAGACCAUUCUUGAUCUUUGGGCUAAUA
This is a long non-coding RNA of Gracilinanus agilis (Agile Gracile Mouse Opossum), 1102 nucleotides long. RefSeq lists it as uncharacterized. The transcript is spliced from 3 exons. The record is from RefSeq and is a predicted model, not a curated record. NCBI's taxonomy places the organism in Eukaryota, Metazoa, Chordata, Mammalia, Didelphimorphia, Didelphidae.